GCCCGCAGAAGCAACCCUUGACCCUGGGAAGCAGCAUUUCGCUGGGGCCCGGACUGGACACAGGGGAGGAUGUGGUGGCACGGUGGAUGGGAAGUGGCUGGGCAGAGCAGAAUUCUCAGAGGGAGGUCAGGGCCUCUCCACGGACCGCAGGGUUCCCCUCAGGGACCUAACCCUGAUGUACACACUCAGGUCCUAGGGCUAGGGGUGUGGCUUUGCAAUACAGUAACUGCCCAGCUUACAUGAAGCCCCGGCCUCCAUCCUCCUCCUCACCAAAAACAAAACCAAACCUCCCCAAACCUUCACACCCUGCCAUCCUCCUUACCACAGCUGCUCACGCGCAAAGUCAGACUGCCGUUCUGCAAAGGGCACAGAAUCCACGAGACGGGACCAUGGGGUCUGGACAUUUUCCUAGUGACUUUCUCUCCUCUGGUCCAGCAAGGAGGUGAGGUCUCUGCCAGCCAUCCCCCCACCCCCAACACACACCUCUAUCCCCCUCCUCCUCCCUCGCCCAUCACCUCCACUCCCGAGUCCUCAAGCAGGAACUCAAGCAGGCAGAGGCAGGCGGAUCUCUGUGAGUUCGAGGCCAGCCGGGUCUACAAGAGCGAGUUCCAGGCUACUACUUCUAAAAUGGAACCACUGGCGGUUGCUUCUCUCUUGGGUUUUGUUUGCUUUCUUAUACUGAAUAGGCUCAUGAGUGUGGAGAGAGUGAUGUGAGCUUAAUACGAUAAAAACACGGGCGUGAAAGUGUCACGGCGUCUAAUCUACACACGCUAAGAAGGGCAGGGCUGAGUUCCGGGUCCCUGUCUGCCUGUGCUGCCAGCGCCGCGUUCUCUGACUCGGUUUGACGGUGCCGUCUCCCAAGGGCUGGGCUAGCGUAAACCUCGAGUGACCGCCAGGAGCAGGACUAAGAAGGAGACCCCAAGUUUUCUUCCUAGUGCCCACAAUGGGCUGGCUGCUCACAACCCCAGUAACUCCAGCUCAAGGGGAUCUAAGACGCUCUUCUGUCCUCCAUGGAUGCUGGAUACACAGACACACACCUAUGCGCGUAAUUAAAAAUAAACUAGAGCCAGAUGGUGGUAGUUACCUUGAAAAUAAACUUUUUUUAAAGCCA
Mesocricetus auratus (golden hamster) is the source of this 1111-nucleotide long non-coding RNA. RefSeq lists it as uncharacterized. NCBI's taxonomy places the organism in Eukaryota, Metazoa, Chordata, Mammalia, Rodentia, Cricetidae. The transcript has 3 exons. The record is from RefSeq and is a predicted model, not a curated record.